Molecule: ribosomal RNA, 422 nt
Filed under: uncultured bacterium
Lineage: Bacteria
Description: bacterial SSU rRNA
Rfam family: Bacterial small subunit ribosomal RNA
Source: RNAcentral
UGAGGAAUAUUGGUCAAUGGGCGGGAGCCUGAACCAGCCAAGUCGCGUGAAGGAAGAAGGAUCUAUGGUUCGUAAACUUCUUUUGCAGGGGAAUAAAGUGCAGGACGUGUCCUGUUUUGUAUGUACCCUGAGAAUAAGGAUCGGCUAACUCCGUGCCAGCAGCCGCGGUAAUACGGAGGAUCCGAGCGUUAUCCGGAUUUAUUGGGUUUAAAGGAUGCGUAGGUGGUUUGAUAAGUCAGCGGUGAAAGUUUGCAGCUUAACUGUAAAAAUGCCGUUGAAACUGUCGGACUUGAGUGUAAAUGAGGUCGGCGGAAUGCGUGGUGUAGCGGUGAAAUGCAUAGAUAUCACGCAGAACUCCGAUUGCGAAGGCAGCUUACUAAGCUACAACUGACACUGAAGCACGAAAGCGUGGGGAUCAAACA